AGAGUUUGAUCCUGGCUCAGGAUGAACGCUAGCGGCAGGCCUAACACAUGCAAGUCGAGGGGUAGCAGGAUUAAGCUUGCUUAAUUGCUGACGACCGGCGCACGGGUGCGUAACGCGUAUGCAACCUACCUUAUACUGGGGUAUAGCCCGGAGAAAUUCGGAUUAAUCCCCCAUAGUACUGUUUUACCGCAUGGUAAGACAGUUAAAGCAUUGCGGUAUAAGAUGGGCAUGCGUCCUAUUAGCUAGAUGGUGAGGUAACGGCUCACCAUGGCUACGAUAGGUAGGGGGCCUGAGAGGGUGGUCCCCCACACUGGUACUGAGACACGGACCAGACUCCUACGGGAGGCAGCAGUGAGGAAUAUUGGUCAAUGGGCGCAAGCCUGAACCAGCCAUGCCGCGUGCAGGAAGAAUGCCCUAUGGGUUGUAAACUGCUUUUAUUUGGGAAUAAACCUCUUUACGUGUAGAGAGCUGAAGGUACCAAAUGAAUAAGCACCGGCUAACUCCGUGCCAGCAGCCGCGGU
This 521-nucleotide ribosomal RNA is filed under the name uncultured freshwater bacterium. Its description in RNAcentral is "bacterial SSU rRNA". It matches the Rfam family "Bacterial small subunit ribosomal RNA", at positions 8 to 521 of the family's 1533-position model. The record is from RNAcentral.